GCCGGGCCGGGCCGGGCCGGGGCUCACCAUCCCGGAGCAGAGGCUGAUGACGGCCGUGUGCCGCGGGCGGGCGUUGACGUGCCCCCGGUAGAAGCAGUGCUUCACGUCGGCGUCCGCCGCCUCCGCGUACAGCCGCCGCUGCUCGGCGCCGGGCUCGCCCAGGAGGCUGACGGUGAAGAGCGGGGCGAUGAAGGCCGAGCUGGCUGUCAGGUUGAAGAGGAACUGCUGGCCGAAGGCGGAGAGCCGGUAGUGCGCCUUGGAGGAGGCGGCGGCGGCCGCCGUCCAGGCGUCGGGGGCCGCGCCGGUGCUCCGCCGCCUCCUCCUGAAGUGGACAUCGGUGGGGAAGGGCUCGCCAAACUCAUUCACCCGGGUAGGAGUCACUAUCUCGUACUCGCUGAGCUUCUCCAGCAGCUUGGCUGCGAGGAGAGAGAGAGGCACAUGCCCCCUGAGCGGAGGGAAGACGAGCCCCGGCCCGCCGCCCCCGCGCCCCCGGCUGCCCCCUUACCUUGCCUGGGGUGCAGCUUCUGCCGCCUGCCUCCUGCCCUCAAGCCGUCGACGAAGAGCGUGGAACGCUGGAAUCGCAGGUUUUCGCCAAGAAAAGCCCUGGCUGCGGCGGCCCGGGCGCCGCGGCUGCCCCGUCCCUCCCGGCGGCGCCCCGCUUCGCCGGGCUGCGAGUGGCUCUGAAGACGCCCGGGCAGAGCCGCACCGACCGCUGCCCGAGCGCGGCAGCUCCUCGGGGGGAAAGAGCCGCAUUUUGACUCGCCAGAAGGAGAGCUGCAAGCGUUUCUUACAUAAUUGUUUCCUUUUUCAUUUUUUUUAAAAGUCCUGAAGAAAGUUUAUUAACUCUACAAGUAUUUGAAGAAUCCUAUCUGUGACACUUUUUAUAGCAUUUGUUUUCUUGUGUGAUUCUCAGAUAUGAGGCACUUAAAGCAACUUUGUCUAGGGUUAUAUUGUGCAGUUUCAGGCACCCUGAGGGAAGGAGGGGGUCUUUUCCUUCUCAAAGAUUUUUUUUUUUUUCCUUUUACAGGUUGGAAAUAUAGUAUAAAAAUGUGAGACAUCCUUUAAAACUAAAUUUAAUUCAGCAUGCCUUCUACCCUUCCACCAGCGUGCUCUUUUUUUUUGCAAAUGGGGAAAGAUGCUGUGAAAUUUAAAGAUUGUAGCAAGUGGAAAAAAAGUAACUGAAAGUGCUUGAAAGCUGGAGUUGCACUUCCAUAAAGAAUUCCAUACUUCUGUAGUUUCUCCACUCAACUUUAGGACAAAGAACAGAAAUACCAUCAUUUUCUGCAGAAGGCUCAACAAAGCCAGACCGUGUUCAGACUUCAGUUGUCUUAUGCGUGGUCAUCUCCAGCAACUGUACUGGUUUCAUCACGUGUCCAAUUCUCAGGCAGAAGUGUUGUCCAAAUGCAAUUAGAGGAUUUGGGCCAUUUGGGCUUUCCUGAUAACUGCAGCCAAGGCAGAGCUCCUCCUAACCUGCAGACCUGCGGCAGCCACAAGGAGGUGGGCAUGUGGGUAGCACAGCUUGUGUGCCUGGAAAUACAGCAGCUCUGCUAAGGAUCUACCAAGAUCCAAGUAUAUUGGGAUAUAUAUGUCUCAUUUUCAGGCCUCUCUACUUUCUGUAGACACUAGAAUAUAAAUAACAUUACUGAAUGUUGGUAAUGGCAACUAGGCUCAAUUUUGUAAGCCAUCUGUUUCCAGAUUUUCUCCUAUUUUACUAGCCUAACUCUUAAAUACCCCUAACAUUUUCAUCCAAAAAGUUUCAAAAGGAAGCAGCAUGACCUGGAACUCACUGUAAAAUUAAUGGAUGUGUUGACCUAGUUGGCAUUUCUUGGAAAUGACAGAGUCUACUGAGAAGCCAGGACCAAUUUGUGCUAGCUGCAGCUCUAGCCCAGGACUGAAAAUGAAACCUCUGUCAGAGUUGCCCUACCUUAUCAUGCUCAGUUAAUGCGUUACUCCACAUUAGCUGCCCAGUUAAGAGUAGCUUUUGGUAUAAGGAGAGGGCGAACUUGUCUUUAGCCACUGCGUUGUUUCUCUGUGCAGUUUUCAUAGCAGCUUCCUGCUCUCAGUGCUCUUUGCAACUCAAAGCACAUGUUCGCAACUGAGAAUUGUCCAAGUUGGAGCCAUUUCAUCUACUGACGAGGCGAUCGUUUGUGCUCGUGCAGCACCAGGACAGGGAGAUGCUGGCCCUUGGUGGAGACCACUAGAUACAUCGUAACUUAAGAACCUUGCUCACAUCUCCAGAGACCUGUGACUGAAUCAAACUCCAUGAGCAUGAAAGGGCACCCUCCAAAGAAGCGAUAUGUAGUAUGGACAUUGGGCUCAUUAAAACAAAACUCUGCUUAUUCCAUUUUGUUCUGUGAAUUAUUUAACCCCUCCAAGCAGUGAGAAUAUAAUUUUGUAGCCCUAGGUAUACACAUAUGAGAUGGUCUGGUUUAGGGUAGCAGUAUCUAAUUAACCAUGUCCAUUUUUUUGCAUGCCAUUAUGAAUGGUAAAUAGUCCCAUGAGCCAGAAGUUACCGAUUUUCUGACAUGGUACGCUUAUGGUAGUACUUCACCAGAGCACCGGUACUUCUUCCAGGGAUUUGCUGCUGUGUGAGCCACACAGGGGUGAUGCUGUUUUGCCUUGCUGUGAGCCACUCCAAGGAGAGAGGGGUCCAAGUCCUAGCUGGCCCUGGGAACACAGUCAUCAUUACCACUUACUCUUGUGCAAACGCAGCACUCGCUCUGAAAAGCUCAACCUCAUGAUCCCCUACCAUUUGGCUUGGUUUCAUACUAGAAGCUUCUAUUGAGCAUCCCAAAACAGAUAUGGCUGUUGGAAUCCCAGAUUAACAAGUUCUGAUGAUAAAAAGCCCAUAGUUUUGAUGCUAUUUGUAUGCAGCAGUGCUAGGACUGUCAGGAGCCAUUAUCUUUCGGCAGAAAGGGCUGUGAGACCUUUUGGUGCUCAGAGCUGUGACUGCAGCUUUUAAAGGCAGAACUUCCUUUCCCUUUUCUGUCCCAUUCCUUAAAACUUUUCUCAUGUCCUAGUCCUUCUC
This is a long non-coding RNA of Rhea pennata, 3028 nucleotides long. RefSeq lists it as uncharacterized. The transcript is spliced from 4 exons. The record is from RefSeq and is a predicted model, not a curated record. Lineage: Eukaryota; Metazoa; Chordata; Aves; Rheiformes; Rheidae.